AAUUCUCAAUGUAAUAAUCUUUAUUGAUUAUUAUACUUGGAUGUUGAAGGCUGCUGAUGGUCAACAUCAGCUCCUUUUAAAUCUAUUAGCAGAAUCUGCCAGACCUGCCUCGGUUUGAUAAUUAUUGUUAUCAUCUAUCUGUCGCAGUGGAUGCAAUCAUUCAGCUUCUAAUCGUCUCUUCAUUGAGACUGUCUCAUUAGAGGCAUACUUAUGACU
Molecule: unclassified non-coding RNA, 216 nt
Filed under: uncultured Agaricales
Lineage: Eukaryota; Fungi; Basidiomycota; Agaricomycetes; Agaricales
Description: sequence contains ITS2
Source: RNAcentral